GGAGAGGUGCCCGAGCGGCUUAAGGGGGCGGUCUCGAAAACCGCUGUCUGCCUCUGGUGGACCCUGGGUUCAAAUCCCAGCCUCUCCG
This 88-nucleotide transfer RNA is filed under the name bacterium. Its description in RNAcentral is "tRNA-Ser". It matches the Rfam family "tRNA". From Rfam's summary of the family: Transfer RNA (tRNA) molecules are approximately 80 nucleotides in length. Their secondary structure includes four short double-helical elements and three loops (D, anti-codon, and T loops). Further hydrogen bonds mediate the characteristic L-shaped molecular structure. tRNAs have two regions of fundamental functional importance: the anti-codon, which is responsible for specific mRNA codon recognition, and the 3' end, to which the tRNAs corresponding amino acid is attached (by aminoacyl-tRNA synthetases). tRNAs cope with the degeneracy of the genetic code in two manners: having more than one tRNA (with a specific anti-codon) for a particular amino acid; and 'wobble' base-pairing, i.e. permitting non-standard base-pairing at the 3rd anti-codon position. RNAcentral also lists the same sequence under 2 other names. The record is from RNAcentral.